RNAcentral lists this transfer RNA (77 nucleotides) under Nitrospinota bacterium. RNAcentral describes it as "tRNA-Pro". It matches the Rfam family "tRNA". From Rfam's summary of the family: Transfer RNA (tRNA) molecules are approximately 80 nucleotides in length. Lineage: Bacteria; Pseudomonadati; Nitrospinota. The record is from RNAcentral.
CGGGACGUAGCGCAGCCUGGUAGCGCACUCCCUUGGGGUGGGAGAGGCCGCGAGUUCAAAUCCCGCCGUCCCGACCA